GCCGAAGUGGCGGAACGGCAGACGCGCUGCGUUCAGGGCGCAGUGCCCUUCGGGGCGUGUGGGUUCAAAUCCCACCUUCGGCACCA
Molecule: transfer RNA, 86 nt
Filed under: Gammaproteobacteria bacterium
Lineage: Bacteria; Pseudomonadati; Pseudomonadota; Gammaproteobacteria
Also listed under: 3 other names
Description: tRNA-Leu
Rfam family: tRNA
About the family: Transfer RNA (tRNA) molecules are approximately 80 nucleotides in length. Their secondary structure includes four short double-helical elements and three loops (D, anti-codon, and T loops).
Source: RNAcentral